GGAAUAUUGGGCAAUGGGCGCAAGCCUGACCCAGCAACGCCGCGUGAAGGAAGAAGGCUUUCGGGUUGUAAACUUCUUUUAAGAGGGAAGAGCAGAAGACGGUACCUCUUGAAUAAGCCACGGCUAACUACGUGCCAGCAGCCGCGGUAAUACGUAGGUGGCAAGCGUUGUCCGGAAUUACUGGGUGUAAAGGGAGCGCAGGCGGGAAGCCAAGUCAGCUGUGAAAACUACGGGCUUAACCUGUAGACUGCAGUUGAAACUGGUUUUCUUGAGUGAAGUAGAGGUUGGCGGAAUUCCGAGUGUAGCGGUGAAAUGCGUAGAUAUUCGGAGGAACACCGGUGGCGAAGGCGGCCAACUGGGCUUUAACUGACGCUGAGGCUCGAAAGUGUGGGGAGCAAACAG
This 402-nucleotide ribosomal RNA is filed under the name uncultured bacterium. Its description in RNAcentral is "bacterial SSU rRNA". It matches the Rfam family "Bacterial small subunit ribosomal RNA", at positions 358 to 775 of the family's 1533-position model. The record is from RNAcentral.